GGGAAACCGGGGCUAAUACCGGAUAACAUUUUGAACCGCAUGGUUCGAAAUUGAAAGGCGGCUUCGGCUGUCACUUAUGGAUGGACCCGCGUCGCAUUAGCUAGUUGGUGAGGUAACGGCUCACCAAGGCAACGAUGCGUAGCCGACCUGAGA
This 153-nucleotide ribosomal RNA is filed under the name Bacillus cereus. RNAcentral's name for it is "partial 16S ribosomal RNA". It matches the Rfam family "Bacterial small subunit ribosomal RNA", at positions 151 to 297 of the family's 1533-position model. Lineage: Bacteria; Bacillati; Bacillota; Bacilli; Caryophanales; Bacillaceae. The record is from RNAcentral.